UCGGCGCUAGGUUUUUUUUUUUUUUUUUUGCCCUCGGCGAUUCCGGCAGUCGCCGCCGUUCGCUCAGCCCCCACGGCCGAUGCUCACCGCCAGGGAGGCAUCCGUGGCAGCGCAUCGGGCCCCGUCUGACGCUUACGCCGAGGAGGCGGCGCAUCCCGCACCCGACGCAAGGCUCCUGGGAGGAGGGCAGGUAAUGGAUCGCCCCCACGGCCGACGCUCGCCACCGGGGAGGCAUCAGUGGCAGCGGAUCUGGCCCCCGCCCUUCAUUCGCCGCCGGGGAGGCGGCGCGUGCCACAAAUAACGCUCGUCCCCUCGGAAGGAGGGAUGGCGGGUGGCUUGCCCCCAUAGCCCACGCUCGCCGGCGGGGAGUCAUCCGUGCGGCGGAUGGGCCCAGACCCUUUCUUGAAGCCGACCGAUGGUGCUGGUGGUGCAAGGCGUCGUGACGCGCCGCAUAGAGGUCCGGGUCCCUUUCAACGAGCGGGAGUGGCGGCGCUCGGCUCGUGGAUCCGUAAAGUCGGCCCCAGCACCCCGCUGCCUCUCGCCGUCGGCCUGCGCACGCCCUGCCGCUCGGCACCAGGGAUUUGGAUCGGGACCCGCUCGACGCUCGACUCUCGACUCCUUGGCGGCGGUGGCUCCCGUGAUCCGUGGCGUCCUUUGGGGAUGGCGGCCAGUACUCACGGGGAAGUCGAUGUCCGGAUUGUCCUCUCAUCGCUGGCCCCUUCGCUUCCCGGCUGUGGGGAUGCCAGCGGCAGGCCUCCGCAUGCCUAGGACAAGCAGGGCAGCGCGUCGUGCUCUGAAUCCUUCCCGCCACUCAAAACAUGUCGUAUCAGAUACAAUGCGCAGGCACUAGCGUGAGCACAAUAACGUUCUAUGGUUUCGCAGAGAGUGUCUUCUGAUUGAGCACAUGGAUUCAUGUGGUGAAAAGAAGACUUACACCGCCUCUUGACGUGUUUUCCUUCUUCAAGUGGCUUGACGGCUCAAACCUACAGGUGUUUGGUGUAGUCUGCACACGUCGAGGCUGUGAUUUAUCCCCCCUCAAACUGUCUAUUCAAACUCUGAAGAAAUUCAUAAAUAUGGGUGUUGUAAUGAGAUGUAAAAGUGUACUUACAGGGGAUGUACUAGUAUCCUGAACUUUUGCUUGCUUUGGUGCUUCAAUCCGGCGGGGCAUGACCUCGUUGUCUAUUUGAUUUGAAGAUUUAUCUGGGCAUUGCUCUGUAUUUACACUUUUGUAAUCA
This is a long non-coding RNA of Panicum virgatum (switchgrass), 1235 nucleotides long. RefSeq lists it as uncharacterized. NCBI's taxonomy places the organism in Eukaryota, Viridiplantae, Streptophyta, Magnoliopsida, Poales, Poaceae. The transcript has 3 exons. The record is from RefSeq and is a predicted model, not a curated record.